RNAcentral lists this ribosomal RNA (429 nucleotides) under Gemmatimonadota bacterium. RNAcentral's name for it is "Gemmatimonadetes bacterium partial 16S ribosomal RNA". It matches the Rfam family "Bacterial small subunit ribosomal RNA", at positions 355 to 776 of the family's 1533-position model. Lineage: Bacteria; Pseudomonadati; Gemmatimonadota. The record is from RNAcentral.
UAGGGAAUCUUCGGCAAUGGACGAAAGUCUGACCGAGCAACGCCGCGUGAGUGAAGAAGGUUUUCGGAUCGUAAAACUCUGUUGUUAGAGAAGAACAAGGACGUUAGUAACUGAACGUCCCCUGACGGUAUCUAACCAGAAAGCCACGGCUAACUACGUGCCAGCAGCCGCGGUAAUACGUAGGUGGCAAGCGUUGUCCGGAUUUAUUGGGCGUAAAGCGAGCGCAGGCGGUUUCUUAAUUCUGAUGUGAAAGCCCCCGGCUCAACCGGGGAGGGUCAUUGGAAACUGGGAGACUUGAGUGCAGAAGAGGAGAGUGGAAUUCCAUGUGUAGCGGUGAAAUGCGUAGAUAUAUGGAGGAACACCAGUGGCGAAGGCGGCGCUCUGGUCUGUAACUGACGCUGAGGCUCGAAAGCGUGGGGAGCAAACAGG